This is an RNA transcript of Alexandromys fortis (reed vole), 2573 nucleotides long. It is a transcript of the gene named inverted formin-2-like, with no coding region annotated. NCBI's taxonomy places the organism in Eukaryota, Metazoa, Chordata, Mammalia, Rodentia, Cricetidae. The transcript has 6 exons. The record is from RefSeq and is a predicted model, not a curated record.
UGUGUGUGUGUGUGUGUGUGUGCGGUGGGACAUUUAGUGACUGCUUGUUUGUUGAGCCAGCUGCUGGCCUAGGCCUUCACCCCCCACGGCCUUCUCUUUCCACCCAACCCUCAGUUGAUCAUUACCCAGCCAAGUGCAGAAGGCUCAUUCCUAGGGCCUGAGUUGGCCCAGCCCUCAGUAGGGAGAGGAUGGGGGUCUUCUGACCCAGGGCCAGGGCCAUUUGGAAUGGCUCAGGACUGCCCUUGGGUGCCUCAGAGGAGACCGGGCAACCCUAGGCCUCUGUCUCCACCACCUGAACCCUGCUCUUGAAAGUUGUCUAAAGCACUGUCCACUUGGCCUUAUCUUGCCUUGCUCGCAUUUGGUUGCUUAGUUCUGGUCACACCAUGCCAGUGUCCAGGAUCCCAGGCUAGGUUAGCAAGGCAGGUAGGUGCGUGGUGAGUGCCCCUUCAACCAUCGAGGCUGUGUGUUUACACGGCAGCCUGGGCCCACUGGCUGCCCUGUGCCAGGUUCCAGAGACUUGGAACCCGAAGCCAUUGCAGCAGCAGCGCCUCUGUGGAAAGCACCCGACUCAGACGUGUGUGACUCUCUGAUGCCACCUGUCGCUUAUAUCCGCAGAAACGUCCACACAGCUCGCAGACACACCGAGGAGGGUAGGGUAACCCAGCGUCUCCCGCUAGUAAACAGGCAUUUAAGAGCCAUGUGAAGCCCACUGAGCUGAAAAGGCUGGGACACCCAACAACUUCCUGCCAGCUUGCUGCCAUGGCUUUGUCCGAGCGCUGCCUGGACGGCACCUCUAAGCACUGGUCCGCGUCCUCCAGGCUGCUAGAUGAGAAGUGCCGGCACCGGGCACUGUGAUGGUCGACCAUGUCAUCAUGCUGCCAGGUACCUGGAGAAGAAAACCAAAGGCUAUGGGAGCCAUAACAGAUCAAGUCCACAUGGUGUCUCCAGCAGGGCAGCACAGGAGCCAACACAGAAUCUAGUGUGUAACCUGAGACGCCCGAGUCAUUCAGGAGAGGAAGAGCAGGGGAAGGAGGUGCUGACAUGUUCCAGGCUUGUAUGGGGCCAGGGCCUGCUGGGACCGUAUCUGGCACAGGCUGAAGGAGAGUGGCGACCACAGAAGGUCCUGUGGCUCAAUACCUUCAGCUACUUCGCCGAGCGAGUAAAGCACUGGACCCAGGAGUGGCUGUUCUGAAGCUGAAGCAGGUCUUCACUGGGGACACUGAGGGAAUUACCAAGGACACUGUGAAGUGGGCCUCUGUGCUGGAACCAGGAGGGAAGGACAUCUGGCCCAGCACGGCUCUUAGGAAGUGGGCUUUGAUGCUGCUGAAUGGGCACACUGAGGUCAGUGCUCGAUUGUGAUUCAGGAUGGUUUCUCUGUGCAGCCCUAGCUGUAGUGGAACCUCUUCCUUCCUCCAAGUGCUAGGGUUAAAGGCAUGCAUCACCACCACCCGGCUAAAUUUUAGUAUUUUUCGGGGGGGUCUAGCUCCUGGUCUGCAGCUUGCAGUGAUCCGGCUGCCUCUGUUUCACAAGUCUGGGAUUAUUGGCGUGUGCAGCGUGACUGGCCUUGAAUAACUAAAUGGCCACUUUGCAGAUUCAGUUUGAUGUCAUGAAGAGCAAUGGGCAUGCUGAGAAGUUGGGGCCUCAGAGAGCCACGUAUCCCUGCCCUCUGGCUUCUCAUUUGGGAUUCAAGGCUUGCAUGUGUGAUCAAUGGAGACCUAAAUCUCACUGGAUCAGAAAGUCAUUCACUGGCCUACAAAGUGCUUUUAGAUUUCUCUGUUAUCCUCAAACAUGUGUCCCUUGCCGAGUUAUGGUUCCCAUUCUAAAAGCGCAUUCCUCCUUUCCAGGGCCUCCAUGGGGAGGUGUCUGUCUUCUCAGACUUCCUGAGGAUGAACACAGGACAGUCCACCUGACAUGGUGUCUGUAAGACUGUGCUGGAAGGUGGGGUUGGGAACUUUUGCCUGUUUUCUCAGGAGCUGCUCUUCGCCUCCUCUCAGCACCUACGCACGCCCUGGCCUUCCUAGUCAGAACUGCAGCACAGGCAGAGGGGACUGUGGGGAGAGCGGGGGAAGAGCAGAGGGUGUCUCCCGUCAGGUUCAUGUUCAGCAGGCUGCCACUCACCGGGACAGGUCUUGUCCAGCCUCACUGGACACAAAACUGUUCCUACUGAAGACCAAAGGCUACAGUGCUGCCUAAGUGAGCCCAGCAGAGAAGCCCGUGCUUCCUCAGCCACACCGUCUUAGAUGUUCUUCACUAAAGCAAAACCAGACCAGCUACCAGAGUCCUGCCUUUCCUGGGUGCCAGGGCAUCCCAGGAGCUCAGCGAGAGAGCUGCCACAGGAGGAGGCGUGGGAAGAGAAAGUACACAGUGUCUUCUGCAGCAUUCCCUCUAAUCCCGUGGAUUCUGAGUCCCAGGAAGAGCUGAGAAAGUCACUAAGGUCACUGAUACCCUGUUUGCCUGACAUGCCAUCAAGAUAACCAGUCCCCACAGCCACCUAGCUGAGCACUGCCACUAAGUCACGGUAGUUCCCCUUUCUUUACCCCUUAGCAGAUACCCAAGAAAGCAACAUGGAAGAG